UCUGGAUGAGGAAACACAACACGAUCACGCUCGUGAUUCUUUCUUCACUUUUUCCACGAGUGUAACAGAUGACAGUGCAAUGAAGCAUUCCUCCACAAGACCCACAGAAUUUAUCCAAGUGCGGUUUAGAGGCUAUUAUCUGUGUAGCUGCUGAUCGAGCUGUAGAAAGAGUCUUUGCACAUACAGAAAAGCAGCAAGACAGGCACACAUUUAAUCCACUGACAGUUUCCUGCCGCAAAUCCUUCCUGUCACACAUCAUGCAGAAAAAACAUCCCCAGAGACCAGGCGCUGCAUUUACACUGCAUGGAAAGCACCUCUCAUGGCAGUGGUAAAUCUUUCCUCCUGACCUAAAAACACAUCUACUUCCUAUUCACCCCUCACACCCUCCCACUCAUUUGACCUCAGACAACCGGGGCCCCUGUGUCACCGCCUAUUGAUUCCUUGGCAUUGAACUUGAAUCUCGGGGCCACAGAAACUACAAUCAAAGAGGCAUUGUCUCUGUCCAAGACAGAUUGCAGACCAAACAAUACUCGUUCACUUUCCCUCAUUUCUCCUUUCAUAGAAUGAACCACUUAUCCUCAGCUGUCAUGGACUUUUUGACUGUUCAGUUCAUGUGGAAUGCAUGCAUUUCCUGUCUAUAGAAGAUGUCUUAUUUACUCUGACGGAUCACCGGAUGAGAACAAUCUUCAUACACCCCUUGGUGUAACCUGAUCAGUGUUGGUGGCAGGAAGUCAUGUCCCUUGAAUCUACUUAGACUUUCUAACAUCUAUAUUAUAACACACCAACUAUGUGUAAUCCACAUCUUUUGUUUGUGCAUUUUACUUAAAUAGAGUAGAAAUCUUUGUCAGUGCAGUAUAACUGUGCAAAUGAUCGAAGUGAUUAAACUGUCAGCAACUCACUGACUGCAUCUAAUUGCAGUUACAGGCAAUGUCAUCAGCUCUUGUCGCAAAGUGACCAGCGCAAAUGCAUAAACUGCAUAUAAAAAGGACAUGGCAUAAUUGCAAACAUGAUUUUUCAGCAUAAUUACAGGAAAAAGUCUUAAUGAUUCCACUGGAACAACAUAAUGAAAAUAUACAGUUUACUUUACCUGGAGCUCUAUUAAAGCGAAUUAGAAAUACUUCCAUUGACUUCUGCUGGUGUAAACAUGAGGCAUAUGAGAUUCAUUACAAUGAAGGAAUUAAAUAAACAGUAGCCUGAAGAACACUGUGGAUGCAUGCUUCAUUAAAAAGCAAUGUUAUUGUAAGUGGCUAAUUAACUCGGGGCACCCUUUUGGUUAGCCUUUACUGUAAAUAUACAAAUUAAUGAGAAUAUGCUCCCUGAUUGGUGUGGGAGUAUGCCUACAAAUCUCUCAUUGCACAGUAUUUUUUUAGGCCUUGCACUUAAAGGACCCAGACAGUACUUGCACUGACUUACCUUCUCCUUCUGACUCUGAACUGAAUCUUUCAGACUCAAAUCUAUGCUCUUGUUACUUUGUUUUUGAAUGCAAAAGACAAGAAACAAACAGUACUAUAUCAUUUUUUGUUUCUUUUUUGUCAGCUCCUUUCUCACUCCCUUGACCUUUCACAUGUCCGCGGUACAGAAUGCAAUAUCAUAUUUAAAUGCAGAAACAGUGUGAA
Notolabrus celidotus (New Zealand spotty) is the source of this 1616-nucleotide long non-coding RNA. RefSeq lists it as uncharacterized. NCBI's taxonomy places the organism in Eukaryota, Metazoa, Chordata, Actinopteri, Labriformes, Labridae. The record is from RefSeq and is a predicted model, not a curated record. The transcript is spliced from 5 exons.